Molecule: ribosomal RNA, 253 nt
Filed under: uncultured bacterium
Lineage: Bacteria
Description: partial 16S ribosomal RNA
Rfam family: Bacterial small subunit ribosomal RNA
Source: RNAcentral
UACAGAGACUGCAAGCGUUACUCGGAUUCACUGGGCGUAAAGGGAGCGCAGGCGGACUAGUGUGUCAGGCGUGAAAUCCCGGGGCUCAACCCCGGGGCUGCGCCCGAAACUACUAGUCUAGAGACUUGGAGAGGUAAGCGGAAUUCUUGGUGGAGCAGUGAAAUGCGUAGAUAUCAAGAGGAACACCAACGGCGAAGGCAGCUUACUGGACAAGAUCUGACGCUCAGGCUCGAAAGCGUGGGGAGCAAAAGGG